RNAcentral lists this non-coding RNA (27 nucleotides) under Homo sapiens (human). Lineage: Eukaryota; Metazoa; Chordata; Mammalia; Primates; Hominidae. The record is from RNAcentral.
UAACCCAGUGGACACAGGAGCCAGAAC